GAUGAACGCUGGCGGCGUGCCUAAUACAUGCAAGUCGAGCGAACGGACGAGAAGCUUGCUUCUCUGAUGUUAGCGGCGGACGGGUGAGUAACACGUGGAUAACCUACCUAUAAGACUGGGAUAACUUCGGGAAACCGGAGCUAAUACCGGAUAAUAUUUUGAACCGCAUGGUUCAAAAGUGAAAGACGGUCUUGCUGUCACUUAUAGAUGGAUCCGCGCUGCAUUAGCUAGUUGGUAAGGUAACGGCUUACCAAGGCGACGAUGCAUAGCCGACCUGAGAGGGUGAUCGGCCACACUGGAACUGAGACACGGUCCAGACUCCUACGGGAGGCAGCAGUAGGGAAUCUUCCGCAAAGGGCGAAAGCCUGACGGAGCAACGCCGCGUGAGUGAUGAAGGUCUUCGGAUCGUAAAACUCUGUUAUUAGGGAAGAACAUAUGUGUAAGUAACUGUGCACAUCUUGACGGUACCUAAUCAGAAAGCCACGGCUAACUACGUG
Molecule: ribosomal RNA, 497 nt
Filed under: uncultured bacterium
Lineage: Bacteria
Description: partial 16S ribosomal RNA
Rfam family: Bacterial small subunit ribosomal RNA
Source: RNAcentral